Molecule: non-coding RNA, 21 nt
Filed under: Arabidopsis thaliana (thale cress)
Lineage: Eukaryota; Viridiplantae; Streptophyta; Magnoliopsida; Brassicales; Brassicaceae
Source: RNAcentral
UUAGAUUCGUCUUUAACGAGU